This 37-nucleotide ribosomal RNA is filed under the name basidiomycete sp. NH103. RNAcentral's name for it is "partial 26S ribosomal RNA". The record is from RNAcentral. Lineage: Eukaryota; Fungi; Basidiomycota. RNAcentral also lists the same sequence under 5 other names.
UGACCUCAAAUCAGGUGGGACUACCCGCUGAACUUAA